UCACACGCCUCCUUUAAGAAUAGCAAAGAGUAUUGGUAAGCGAUUUCUACACCAGGGUGCUGAUGGGGAGGAUUGUGUAACCGUGUGUGUGUGUGUGUGUGUGAGUGAGAAACCGAGCAGGAGAAAGGAAAGGAAAGACAGUUGACUAUCCUUCACCUGCCGCCCAAAGUACACCAACAGGAAGGGAUCUAAGAGAGAUCACAGGCUGUUUUCUCUUACCCAUGAGGCUUAGCGGGGGACGACAGCAGUCAAGGAAGUUUCUGCCCCGGGGGCCGGAGUGAAGAAGCAGCAGCAGCAGGAUCGCCAUCUUUUAAAAUCCCUCCUUUGGUGGCGUGACCCCUGACCCGGCCCCGGAGAAGGUUCCCUCCUGACUCCUGCCUGGAAGUCAUCUGCCCAUCGGUUCGGUAACCAGCGUCCUGUUCUACGCCGGUUCCGGUCGAUCGCUCCUGCCACGCCACACCAAACAUGACACCUACACCAGAGACCUCCUGCGACCUUAGCUGAGAAAUACGACCCCUCAUUAAAGUUAUUAUGCUUUGAGCUCU
Long non-coding RNA from Hippoglossus stenolepis (Pacific halibut), 545 nucleotides. RefSeq lists it as uncharacterized. NCBI's taxonomy places the organism in Eukaryota, Metazoa, Chordata, Actinopteri, Pleuronectiformes, Pleuronectidae. The transcript is spliced from 3 exons. The record is from RefSeq and is a predicted model, not a curated record.